RNAcentral lists this long non-coding RNA (319 nucleotides) under Brassica napus (rape). RNAcentral describes it as "long non-coding RNA (BNAP_LNC017778)". The record is from RNAcentral. Lineage: Eukaryota; Viridiplantae; Streptophyta; Magnoliopsida; Brassicales; Brassicaceae.
CAACGGUUGGAUCUUCUGUUGUCUGGGUUUUAGUGAAGCUGGUCGUCACAGUUCUUCAGCGGGACAGUCUUGGGUGUUUGGUAAAUCCGACGGUGAGAUCUUCUAUUCUUGAGCUGAAAUUUGGCGGAGGUAUUGUUGACUUGCUUAUCUUGGAUUUGUACGGUUGGAUUAGUCUCUGGAUGCCGGAAUCCUUGUGAGCUGAGAUCGGUUGGUUGCUGCCGGUUUUGAAGCUUUGUGUUGCUCUCUUGUUGUUGUUGUUUGUGUUGGAGAUAGCUCUUUGUAGCUAGACUCUCUGUUCUGUUCAGGCUGUUGAACAGGG